GUAAGUAGUGACUACAGCCGAGCUAACUUCUAAUCAAACCUUUCCUACUGGGGCUUCCCACAGACUCCCAGCUCUCCCUCCACAGGGGUCAGCAUGGUUUCCAAGAUGCAGGGGGAAGAUGGUUCUUCUCAGGGCAUCCUGGGAAACCUGGCUGAGAAAGAAGGUCUGGUCUUUAAAGCUGUCAGCUGCUUGGAGAAGUUUUACGGCUGCCAAAAGUAAAGAACAAAAGUCAUUGCUGGAACACAGAUAA
RNAcentral lists this long non-coding RNA (250 nucleotides) under Rattus norvegicus (Norway rat). RNAcentral describes it as "long non-coding RNA NONRATT027211". The record is from RNAcentral. Lineage: Eukaryota; Metazoa; Chordata; Mammalia; Rodentia; Muridae.